Molecule: long non-coding RNA, 229 nt
Filed under: Homo sapiens (human)
Lineage: Eukaryota; Metazoa; Chordata; Mammalia; Primates; Hominidae
Description: non-protein coding lnc-COL11A2-1:1
Source: RNAcentral
AUACACCCUAAAGACUGAAGGAGCCAGCGCAGAGCCAGGAUCCUCCUGUGAGCCAUGGCCCUGGCUGCCCUGCUUAGCCUCUCGGAACCUGGGCCAUCAGGGCAGACCAUGUGUCAACGUAUGCAGAGUUUGUGCAGACACACAGACCCUCUGGGGAGUAUAUGUUUGAAUCUGAUGAAGAUGAGCAGUUAUUUGUGCACCUGGACAAGAAGGAGAUGGUCUGGCAUCU